GUCCUUGUCGAUUAGUGGUUAGAUCAUUACGUUGUGGUAACACAAUUCCGUGAAGACCUGGGCUCGACUCCCAGCAGGGACA
This is a non-coding RNA of Gelatoporia subvermispora B, 82 nucleotides long. Lineage: Eukaryota; Fungi; Basidiomycota; Agaricomycetes; Polyporales; Gelatoporiaceae. The record is from the annotation of a GenBank genome assembly.